RNAcentral lists this ribosomal RNA (1317 nucleotides) under uncultured Alphaproteobacteria bacterium. RNAcentral's name for it is "bacterial SSU rRNA". It matches the Rfam family "Bacterial small subunit ribosomal RNA", at positions 29 to 1393 of the family's 1533-position model. The record is from RNAcentral. Lineage: Bacteria; Pseudomonadati; Pseudomonadota; Alphaproteobacteria.
ACGUACGCUGGCGGCACGCCUAACACAUGCAAGUCGAACGCAGUAGCAAUACUGAGUGGCAAACGGGUGAGUAACAUGUGGGUAUCUGCCCUUCGGCCUGGAAUAACACGAGGAAACUUGUGCUAAUACCGGAUAAGUCUUUACAGAGAAAGCUUUAUGCACCGAUGGAUGAGCCCGCACCUGAUUAGUUAGUUGGUGAGGUAAUGGCUCACCAAGACAAUGAUCAGUAGCUGAUUUGAGAGGAUGAUCAGCCACAUUGGGACUGAGACACGGCCCAAACUCCUACGGGAGGCAGCAGUGGGGAAUCUUGCACAAUGGGGGAAACCCUGAUGCAGCGAUGCCGCGUGAGUGAAGAAGGCCCUUGGGUUGUAAAGCUCUUUCGUCGGGGAAGAAAAUGACUGUACCCGAAUAAGAAGGUCCGGCUAACUUCGUGCCAGCAGCCGCGGUAAUACGAAGGGACCUAGCGUAGUUCGGAAUUACUGGGCUUAAAGAGUUCGUAGGUGGUUAAAAAAGUUGGUGGUGAAAUCCCAGAGCUUAACUCUGGAACUGCCAUCAAAACUUUUUAGCUAGAGUAUGAUAGAGGAAAGUAGAAUUUCUAGUGUAGAGGUGAAAUUCGUAGAUAUUAGAAAGAAUACCGAUUGCGAAGGCAACUUUCUGGAUCAUUACUGACACUGAGGAACGAAAGCAUGGGUAGCGAAGAGGAUUAGAUACCCUCGUAGUCCAUGCCGUAAACGAUGUGUGCUAGACGUUGGAAAUUUAUUUUCAGUGUCGCAGCAAAAGCAUUAAGCACACCGCCUGGGGAGUACGACCGCAAGGUUAAAACUCAAAUGAAUUGACGGGGACCCGCACAAGUAGUGGAGCAUGUGGUUUAAUUCGAAGAUACGCGCAGAACCUUACCAACACUUGACAUGUUCGUCGCGACUCUAAGAGAUUAGAGUUUUCGGUUCGGCCGGACGAAACACAGGUGCUGCAUGGCUGUCGUCAGCUCGUGUCGUGAGAUGUUGGGUUAAGUCCCGCAACGAGCGCAACCCUCACUUUUAGUUGCCAUCAUUAAGUUGGGCACUCUGAAAGAACUGCCAGUGAUAAGCUGGAGGAAGGUGGGGAUGACGUCAAGUCCUCAUGGCCCUUACGUGUUGGGCUACACACGUGCUACAAUGGCAUCUACAACAGGAAGCAAAACGGCAACGUUAAGCAAAUCCCGAAAAGAUGCCUCAGUUCGGAUUGCACUCUGCAACUCGAGUACAUGAAGCUGGAAUUACUAGUAAUCGUGGAUCAGCGUGCCACGGUGAAUGCGUUCCCGGGUCUUGUACACACCGC